RNAcentral lists this ribosomal RNA (331 nucleotides) under uncultured bacterium. RNAcentral's name for it is "bacterial SSU rRNA". It matches the Rfam family "Bacterial small subunit ribosomal RNA", at positions 568 to 898 of the family's 1533-position model. The record is from RNAcentral.
CGUGUAGGUGGACGGGUAAGUCAGAUGUGAAAGCCUUCUGCUUAACAGAAGAAGUGCAUUUGAAGCUGCUCGGCUAGAGUACGGGAGAGGAGAGUGGAAUUCCCGGUGUAGAGGUGAAAUUCGUAGAUAUCGGGAGGAACACCAGUGGCGAAGGCGGCUCUCUGGUCCGAUACUGACGCUGAGACGCGAAAGCGUGGGAGCAAACAGGAUUAGAUACCCUGGUAGUCCACGCCGUAAACGAUGGGCACUAGGUGUAGGAGGUAUUGACCCCUUCUGUGCCGAAGCUAACGCAUUAAGUGCCCCGCCUGGGGAGUACGGCCGCAAGGCUAAA